RNAcentral lists this transfer RNA (66 nucleotides) under Rupicapra rupicapra (chamois). Its description in RNAcentral is "tRNA-Val". The record is from RNAcentral. RNAcentral also lists the same sequence under 8 other names. Lineage: Eukaryota; Metazoa; Chordata; Mammalia; Artiodactyla; Bovidae.
CAAGAUAUAGCUUAACUAAAGCAUCCAGUUUACACCUAGAAGAUUUCACACACAUGAAUAUCUUGA